Molecule: non-coding RNA, 571 nt
Organism: Oryzias latipes (Japanese medaka)
Lineage: Eukaryota; Metazoa; Chordata; Actinopteri; Beloniformes; Adrianichthyidae
Source: RefSeq, a predicted model, not a curated record
CCACUGUCAGAAAAACCUCCAAAGCAUUUUCAGACCGACAAAAAGUCCAGACUCUGGCUUCAAAACCAGCGUUCAUCCAAACGGACACCCAAACUCAGAGUGGUGCAGUAGUUCACGGCUGCGUAUUCAAUGACGGAGAGGAAGACAAACAGGAAGCUGGUCCACAGCAAAGACAGCUUAUAAAGGGGACAAACGUUAAAAUGCAGACAGACUUGUGGUACCUGCGGCAUGGAGGAGGAGACACCUGUGAUGAUGGUGGACAUGUCUGUUACCCAGAGACACCCGUGCAGGAACUGCCCUCCUGUCGAUCCAGAAGGAGACCCAGGAGAGAACCACCAUGAGCAUGGUGGGAAAUUCUACUGAAAUGAAACGUCUGCAGGGAUUUUCCAGAAUUACUCAAAACAAAAAGGAAGCAGAUCUCAAGCAUGUUACUCCAGCCUCCUCCAGCUCACGGAUAAGUAUAGCCCCCUAAUUCCACAUUUAGAAACCUUGGGGUUUUAUUUGACCAGGAUUUAUCAUUUAAGGCUCACAUAUCUCAGGUGUGUAGAACUGCCUUUUUUCACCUGCGGAA